UCUUCUAUUGUUAUGAAAUGUUUACAGAAGAUUCAUAUCCUUAUAGGCAAAAACUGAUUCAAUGUUCAAGGUCAUAGGUGAAAGGUCAAAGUGAGGAAAAAUCUUGAAAUACUGGGAAAAAAUCCCUAUAUUUACACUGAACAAUUUUUCAAAAAAUCAUAAUACUGUCAAAAAAGAUCAAAUUUAUUUCAUAUUUGAUAGUGUUAUGUAGGGUGGUAUCC
This is a long non-coding RNA of Thalassophryne amazonica, 221 nucleotides long. RefSeq lists it as uncharacterized. NCBI's taxonomy places the organism in Eukaryota, Metazoa, Chordata, Actinopteri, Batrachoidiformes, Batrachoididae. The transcript is spliced from 3 exons. The record is from RefSeq and is a predicted model, not a curated record.